AAGUGCACAGCUCAGUAGAAUUAAAUACAUUCACACUGCUGCAAAUCACCACUACCAUCUCCAGAACUGAAACUGUGUGUCCAUUAAACAAGAAUUCCUCAACAUGUCUCCACUCAACAGCUGGAAAAGAAACAAAAGAAAAUUUGAAAGGGGUGAUGUUCCAACAUAUCAAGUUCAUGAAGGGACAUAAUUAUGCUGUUAUGUGAAAGAAUCAACUCUGUGUGCUCAGCAGACCAUCCAGACACAUCCUAAGCAUUGUGUCUCCGAAGUAGAUCAGUUUAGCUGUGACAUCCUAUAGCAGUAUCUCUAUUAUGUGUCCUGUUCUAUUCAUCAGCAUCUCAACCGAAAAGAAACUCCUGGAGGACAUGCUCCUUGAAAAUAAGAAAGUAAAUGAAAAAAGAAGAUAUUGGGAGAGCAGAAUCAAGAGCUCCAACAAAAGACCUGCCAAAGAACUUCUGGGUUAUAAUAGCAAGUCUUUCCCAUUAAAGCUACUGGCAGAGAUGCCCAAAAUAUUCCUGAUUGAUUGAAGCCUCAUUUGCUAGUUCCUCACUUUCGGGAACACUAA
Molecule: long non-coding RNA, 565 nt
Filed under: Homo sapiens (human)
Lineage: Eukaryota; Metazoa; Chordata; Mammalia; Primates; Hominidae
Description: HSALNT0294446
Source: RNAcentral